CCUACGGGUGGCAGCAGUGGGGAAUAUUGCACAAUGGGGGAAACCCUGAUGCAGCAACGCCGCGUGAGUGAAGAAGUUUUUAGGUAUGUAAAGCCCUAUUAGCAGGGAAGAAGAUCGCCGUUACCUGCCUAUACAGCCCGGGCUAACUACGUCCCAGCAGCCGCGUUAAUACGUAGGGGGCAAGCGUUCUCCGGAUCUCCUGGGUGUAAAGGGAGCGUAGACGGCUGUGGAAGUCUGAAGUGAAAGCCCGUGGCUCAACCGCGGAACUGCUUUGGAAACUGUAUGGCUGGAGUGCGGGAGAGGCAGGUGGAAUUCCUGGUGUAGGGGUGAAAUGCGUAGAUAUUAGGAGGAACACCAGUGGCGAAGGCGGCCUGCUGGACAGAAACUGACGUUGAGGCUCGAAAGCGUGGGGAGCAAACAGGAUUAGAUACCCUAGUAGUC
RNAcentral lists this ribosomal RNA (441 nucleotides) under uncultured bacterium. Its description in RNAcentral is "partial 16S ribosomal RNA". It matches the Rfam family "Bacterial small subunit ribosomal RNA", at positions 338 to 795 of the family's 1533-position model. The record is from RNAcentral.